ACCUCCUCUGCCCUGAGAGCGCGUCCGGUGCGGGCGGAGUCGGAUGGACUCUGGCUUCACGCCUCGCGCGGGCACACCUUCUCCCGGGCACUGAGGCCCAGGGGAGGCAGAGUCCUUCUGGAGUUUGACCCUUGGAUUCCAUCCAGAGCAGCCUCCAAAAUGACACCUUUGAAGUUGUGUAUCGAGCUGGGGGAUGUAAAGGGAGGAGAAGAAAGAAGAUGAAGAGAUACCAGCCAGCCUUAAGGAGUGGACAUCCUGCCUGGUGAAACUGAACAAGACACCGACCGCAUGUGAGUGAACCAAGCCCUAGUUGCUGGGCUCCGACAAACAUGGCUGGUUUGGGGAAGGGUAUGUAAGAGUGGGUGUGGAGGGUUUUGGCCUGAUAAUGAAGGUAGGCUUCUUGGAGGUAGAGGACCCUGGAAGUUGAGUGGAGUUGAGGGAACAGCCUGGCAACAUCCUGGGCCAAGGCAGGCAAGGUGUGAGUAUGGCUCUGGUGAGAGGAGGUAAGUCUGAG
RNAcentral lists this long non-coding RNA (514 nucleotides) under Pan troglodytes (chimpanzee). RNAcentral describes it as "long non-coding RNA NONPTRT000195". The record is from RNAcentral. Lineage: Eukaryota; Metazoa; Chordata; Mammalia; Primates; Hominidae.